This 72-nucleotide transfer RNA is filed under the name Loxodonta africana (African savanna elephant). It matches the Rfam family "tRNA". From Rfam's summary of the family: Transfer RNA (tRNA) molecules are approximately 80 nucleotides in length. The record is from Rfam by way of RNAcentral. Lineage: Eukaryota; Metazoa; Chordata; Mammalia; Proboscidea; Elephantidae.
GCCCUGGUGGUACAUUGGCUGAGUGCUCAGCUGCUAACUGAGAGGUUGGUGGUUCGAACCCACCCAGCAGCU